CGAAAGCCUGACGGAGCAAUACCGCGUGGGGGAGGAAGGCCCUUGGGUCGUAAACCCCUUUUCUCAGGGAAGAAAUUUGACGGUACCUGAGGAAUAAGCAUCGGCUAACUCCGUGCCAGCAGCCGCGGUAAUACGGAGGAUGCAAGCGUUAUCCGGAAUCAUUGGGCGUAAAGCGUCCGCAGGUGGCUGCUCAAGUCUGCUGUCAAAGCCCGGGGCUCAACCCUGGAGGGGCAGUGGAAACUGGGCUGCUAGAGUGCGGUAGGAGUAGAGGGAAUUCCCGGUGUAGCGGUGAAAUGCGUAGAUAUCGGGAAGAACACCAGUGGCGAAAGCGCUCUACUGGGCCGCAACUGACACUCAUGGACGAAAGCUA
RNAcentral lists this ribosomal RNA (370 nucleotides) under uncultured cyanobacterium. RNAcentral's name for it is "bacterial SSU rRNA". It matches the Rfam family "Bacterial small subunit ribosomal RNA", at positions 376 to 762 of the family's 1533-position model. The record is from RNAcentral. Lineage: Bacteria; Bacillati; Cyanobacteriota.